UACGAAGGGGGCUAGCGUUGUUCGGAAUUACUGGGCGUAAAGCGCGUGUAGGCGGGUCUUUAAGUCAGGGGUGAAAUGCCAAGGCUCAACCUUGGAACUGCCUUUGAUACUGGAGACCUUGAGUCCGGGAGAGGUGAGUGGAAUUGCGGGUGUAGAGGUGAAAUUCGUAGAUAUUCGCAAGAACACCAGUGGCGAAGGCGGCUCACUGGCCCGGAACUGACGCUGAGACGCGAAAGCGUGGGGAGCAAACAGG
This 253-nucleotide ribosomal RNA is filed under the name uncultured bacterium. RNAcentral's name for it is "partial 16S ribosomal RNA". It matches the Rfam family "Bacterial small subunit ribosomal RNA", at positions 524 to 776 of the family's 1533-position model. The record is from RNAcentral.